This 109-nucleotide small nuclear RNA is filed under the name Sorex araneus (European shrew). Lineage: Eukaryota; Metazoa; Chordata; Mammalia; Eulipotyphla; Soricidae. The record is from RNAcentral.
GUGCUGGCUUCAGCAGCACCCCAUAAUAAGCAUGGAAUGAUACAGAAAAUAUGAGCAUGGCCCCCUAUUCAAUGAUGACACACAAACUCAAGAAGUGUAUCUUUUUUUU